GGUUAAGCGACUAAGCGUACACGGUGGAUGCCCUGGCAGUCAGAGGCGAUGAAGGGCGUGCUAAUCUGCGAUAAGCGCCGGUAAGGUGAUAUGAACCGUUAUAACCGGCGAUACCCGAAUGGGGAAACCCAGUGUGAUUCGUCACACUAUCAUUACGUGAAUACAUAGCGUAAUGAAGCGAACCGGGGGAACUGAAACAUCUAAGUACCCCGAGGAAAAGAAAUCAACCGAGAUUCCCCCAGUAGCGGCGAGCGAACGGGGAGGAGCCCAGAGCCUGAAUCAGCAUGUGUGUUAGUGGAAGCGUCUGGAAAGGCGCGCGAUACAGGGUGACAGCCCCGUACACAAAAGCGCAUGUGCUGUGAGCUCGAUGAGUAGGGCGGGACACGUGGUAUCCUGUCUGAAUAUGGGGGGACCAUCCUCCAAGGCUAAAUACUCCUGACUGACCGAUAGUGAACCAGUACCGUGAGGGAAAGGCGAAAAGAACCCCGGCGAGGGGAGUGAAAAAGAACCUGAAACCGUGUACGUACAAGCAGUGGGAGCACCCUUUGGGGUGUGACUGCGUACCUUUUGUAUAAUGGGUCAGCGACUUAUAUUCUGUAGCAAGGUUAACCGAAUAGGGGAGCCGGAGGGAAACCGAGUCUUAAUUGGGCGUUAAGUUGCAGGGUAUAGACCCGAAACCCGGUGAUCUAGCCAUGGGCAGGUUGAAGGUUGGGUAACACUAACUGGAGGACCGAACCGACUAAUGUUGAAAAAUUAGCGGAUGACCUGUGGCUGGGGGUGAAAGGCCAAUCAAACCGGGAGAUAGCUGGUUCUCCCCGAAAGCUAUUUAGGUAGCGCCUCGUGAAUUCAUCUCCGGGGGUAGAGCACUGUUUCGGCUAGGGGGCCAUCCCGGCUUACCAACCCGAUGCAAACUGCGAAUACCGGAGAAUGUUAUCACGGGAGACACACGGCGGGUGCUAACGUCCGUCGUGAAGAGGGAAACAACCCAGACCGCCAGCUAAGGUCCCAAAGUCAUGGUUAAGUGGGAAACGAUGUGGGAAGGCCCAGACAGCCAGGAUGUUGGCUUAGAAGCAGCCAUCAUUUAAAGAAAGCGUAAUAGCUCACUGGUCGAGUCGGCCUGCGCGGAAGAUGUAACGGGGCUAAACCAUGCACCGAAGCUGCGGCAGCGACACUGUGUGUUGUUGGGUAGGGGAGCGUUCUGUAAGCCUGUGAAGGUGUGUCGUGAGGCAUGCUGGAGGUAUCAGAAGUGCGAAUGCUGACAUAAGUAACGAUAAAGCGGGUGAAAAGCCCGCUCGCCGGAAGACCAAGGGUUCCUGUCCAACGUUAAUCGGGGCAGGGUGAGUCGACCCCUAAGGCGAGGCCGAAAGGCGUAGUCGAUGGGAAACGGGUUAAUAUUCCCGUACUUGGUGUUACUGCGAAGGGGGGACGGAGAAGGCUAUGUUGGCCGGGCGACGGUUGUCCCGGUUUAAGCGUGUAGGUGUGUGUUCCAGGUAAAUCCGGUUCACUUUAACACUGAGGCGUGAUGACGAGGCACUACGGUGCUGAAGCAACAAAUGCCCUGCUUCCAGGAAAAGCCUCUAAGCAUCAGGUAACAUCAAAUCGUACCCCAAACCGACACAGGUGGUCAGGUAGAGAAUACCAAGGCGCUUGAGAGAACUCGGGUGAAGGAACUAGGCAAAAUGGUGCCGUAACUUCGGGAGAAGGCACGCUGACACGUAGGUGAAGUGAUUUACUCAUGGAGCUGAAGUCAGUCGAAGAUACCAGCUGGCUGCAACUGUUUAUUAAAAACACAGCACUGUGCAAACACGAAAGUGGACGUAUACGGUGUGACGCCUGCCCGGUGCCGGAAGGUUAAUUGAUGGGGUCAGCGCAAGCGAAGCUCCUGAUCGAAGCCCCGGUAAACGGCGGCCGUAACUAUAACGGUCCUAAGGUAGCGAAAUUCCUUGUCGGGUAAGUUCCGACCUGCACGAAUGGCGUAAUGAUGGCCAGGCUGUCUCCACCCGAGACUCAGUGAAAUUGAACUCGCUGUGAAGAUGCAGUGUACCCGCGGCAAGACGGAAAGACCCCGUGAACCUUUACUAUAGCUUGACACUGAACAUUGAGCCUUGAUGUGUAGGAUAGGUGGGAGGCUUUGAAGCGUGGACGCCAGUCUGCGUGGAGCCGACCUUGAAAUACCACCCUUUAAUGUUUGAUGUUCUAACGUGGACCCGUGAUCCGGGUUGCGGACAGUGUCUGGUGGGUAGUUUGACUGGGGCGGUCUCCUCCUAAAGAGUAACGGAGGAGCACGAAGGUUGGCUAAUCCUGGUCGGACAUCAGGAGGUUAGUGCAAUGGCAUAAGCCAGCUUGACUGCGAGCGUGACGGCGCGAGCAGGUGCGAAAGCAGGUCAUAGUGAUCCGGUGGUUCUGAAUGGAAGGGCCAUCGCUCAACGGAUAAAAGGUACUCCGGGGAUAACAGGCUGAUACCGCCCAAGAGUUCAUAUCGACGGCGGUGUUUGGCACCUCGAUGUCGGCUCAUCACAUCCUGGGGCUGAAGUAGGUCCCAAGGGUAUGGCUGUUCGCCAUUUAAAGUGGUACGCGAGCUGGGUUUAGAACGUCGUGAGACAGUUCGGUCCCUAUCUGCCGUGGGCGCUGGAGAACUGAGGGGGGCUGCUCCUAGUACGAGAGGACCGGAGUGGACGCAUCACUGGUGUUCGGGUUGUCAUGCCAAUGGCACUGCCCGGUAGCUAAAUGCGGAAGAGAUAAGUGCUGAAAGCAUCUAAGCACGAAACUUGCCCCGAGAUGAGUUCUCCCUGAGACUUAAAGUCUCCUGAAGGAACGUUGAAGACGACGACGUUGAUAGGCCGGGUGUGUAAGCGCAGCGAUGCGUUGAGCUAACCGGUACUAAUGAACCGUGAGGCUUAACCUU
Molecule: ribosomal RNA, 2905 nt
Filed under: Salmonella enterica subsp. enterica
Lineage: Bacteria; Pseudomonadati; Pseudomonadota; Gammaproteobacteria; Enterobacterales; Enterobacteriaceae
Description: 23S ribosomal RNA
Rfam family: Bacterial large subunit ribosomal RNA
Source: RNAcentral